This 30-nucleotide non-coding RNA is filed under the name Rattus norvegicus (Norway rat). The record is from RNAcentral. Lineage: Eukaryota; Metazoa; Chordata; Mammalia; Rodentia; Muridae.
UAGAGCCAUACGCGUUCAGAGCCUCCACCU